Molecule: ribosomal RNA, 398 nt
Filed under: uncultured bacterium
Lineage: Bacteria
Description: bacterial SSU rRNA
Rfam family: Bacterial small subunit ribosomal RNA
Source: RNAcentral
GAUGAACGCUAGCUACAGGCUUAACACAUGCAAGUCGAGGGGAAACGAUAUUGGAAGCUUGCUUCCGAUAGGCGUCGACCGGCGCACGGGUGAGUAACGCGUAUCCAACCUGCCCAUCACUUGGGGAUAACCUUGCGAAAGUAAGACUAAUACCCAAUGACGUCUCUAGAAGACAUCUGAAAGAGAUUAAAGAUUUAUCGGUGAUGGAUGGGGAUGCGUCUGAUUAGCUUGUUGGCGGGGUAACGGCCCACCAAGGCGACGAUACAGUAGGGGUUCCGAGAGGAAGGUCCCCCACAUUGGAACUGAGACACGGUCCAAACUCCUACGGGAGGCAGCAGUGAGGAAUAUUGGUCAAUGGACGAGAGUCUGAACCAGCCAAGUAGCGUGCAGGAUGACGG